AUUGAACGCUGGCGGAAUGCUUUACACAUGCAAGUCGAACGGCAGCACGGACUUCGGUCUGGUGGCGAGUGGCGAACGGGUGAGUAACAUAUCGGAACGUAUCCAAUAAUGGGGGAUAACUAAUCGAAAGGUUGGCUAAUACCGCAUACGCCCUACGGGGGAAAGCAGGGGAUCUUCGGACCUUGCGUUAAUGGAGCGGCGGAUAUCUGUUUAGCUAGUGGGUGAGGUAAAGGCUCACCAAGGCGAGGAUCAGUAGCUGGUCUGAGAGGACGACCAGCCACACUGGAACUGAGACACGGUCCAGACUCCUACGGGAGGCAGCAGUGGGGAAUUUUGGACAAUGGGCGCAAGCCUGAUCCAGCCAUUCCGCGUGAGUGAAGAAGGCCUUCGGGUUGUAAAGCUCUUUCGCAAGGGAAGAAAACUUACUUUCUAAUAAAGAGUGAGGUUGCCGGUACCUUGAUAAGAAGCACCGGCUAACUACGUGCCAGCCGCCGCCGUAA
RNAcentral lists this ribosomal RNA (500 nucleotides) under uncultured bacterium. RNAcentral's name for it is "partial 16S ribosomal RNA". It matches the Rfam family "Bacterial small subunit ribosomal RNA", at positions 30 to 523 of the family's 1533-position model. The record is from RNAcentral.